GUGCGCAUCAAAGUGCGCAUGGCGUUAGUCUACCGGUGAAAAUUGUGACAAGAGGACGGAUCAUCGCAAAUUCGGAUUACGCAGUUUAAUUGGUAGAUAUCAUGAUAGUUCUCAAAAGGCGGGAAAAAUUCCAAUAUGGACGCCAUGUCUUUCUUGAUGACGUAAAUUUUAUAUUUCGUAUGUAUAAAUUUUUGUUUUGUUUUAUUUUUAUUAAAUUAUUAGUAAUUAUUGUUAAGCAAUUCGUAAUAAAAUUACAUUUUAGUUAAAAGAAAGAGAAAAAAUAAAUAAUUUAUGAGAAAUUUUAAUGAUUCAUCAUUGGAAAUUAAGUUUUAAAAUCUGACAACGAACAUUUUAUUAAAUUUCAGAUAUUAAUAAAUAAUUGGUAGUAUUUUUAUACAUAAUUCAUAACCAAUUAAAAUAAAAAGACAGUAUUUUUAGAACAAAUGCUCGAUAAAAAGCAGAAAAAAAAUAUCAAAAAGAUAUUUUUUUUUCUUCUAUCAUUCCCUAUCCCUUUACUAAUUUAAUGUUAAUUUCAGAAAAUAUUUGUGACCGCGCGCAAUGCGGUUAAUAGAAUCAGUGUUUGUUUCGUCAUAGUAUUUUUAAUAUUUUUUAGAGCACAACAGCUCUGAUUAAAUUUAAUUAGAAUAAUCAAACGCGAUAGUAGAGUCAGUGUUUGUUCGCCGAUUAUAAUUUAUUCGGACGUGUUAUUAGUUUUUUAUUUUUUAUUUCUUUUUAUUCUCAAUAUUCGUUUUCGGUACUGAAUAGAAUCAGUGUUUCUCAAGAGAAUAAGACGAUCAUCCACCACGCGAAGAGGUGCUGAUGAUCUUUAUGAAGAUUUGGACUUUAAUCUUAAAAAAUAUUUGUGACCACGCGCAAUGUGGUUAUUAGAAUCAGUGUUUGUUUCGUUAUAGUAUUUUGAAUAUUUUUUAAAGCACAAGAGCUCUAAUUAAAUUUAAUUAGAAUAAUCAAACGCGAAAAUAAAAUCAGUGUUUGUUCGCCGAUUAUAAUUUAUAUACGGACGCGUUAUUAGAUUCUUAUUUUUUAUUUUUUUUUAUUUUAAAUAUUCGUUUUCGGUACAGGGUAGAUUCAGUGCUUCUCUCAAGAAAAUAAGACGAUCAUCCAUCACGCGAAGAGAUUUCUUCCAUCCUUCUACCUGAUGACAACCUUCUUCUCGAUGAUUUCUGGGCUACAAUAAUAGUGAAGGCAUUCGUCGCAUCAAAUGGUGAGUCGCAUGCUUUUUGGUUCCUCUGGUCACUCAAUCAUGUCGUAGGAUGAAAGAUCCGAAUCGACACGAGUGAUUGGUUGUAUACGUAGAAUUUUGCACGAGCACAGUGACCACGGAUAUAUAUAUUUUAUAUACCCGUGAGUAGUAACAUUUAUUUUCUUUGUAUUUAUUUAUUAGUUCAGGCUAGGUCUUCUUGUAUUUCGCGUUUUUAAAUAUUAGUCUAAAGUUAAUAGAAAAUUAAAUUAUAAUUUGUAAGAGUAUAUUUAAUAUGAAUAUUUAUAACAUCUAAUAAUUAAAUGAAUAUUCGUGUAUGAAUUAAAAACGAAUAUUUGAAUGUGAUAUUAAAUCAUUUCAUUUUUAUUUCACGAUAAUGUUUUAAAGGAUUGCUUAAUAUUCAAGAUAGCAUAAAUACGUAAUUUUAUUGUUUUUGUUUGAAAUAUUAUGUACAAGAAGACAUUUCGCGACAGGCAGAUUUUGAAAUCAAAGCUACAACUUUUGAACACUUGUAUUUUCGAAAAUAUGCUUUGAUGAAGAAAUCACCUGAGGAUAUUUUCAUUAAUAUUUAAACUUUGAAUCAAUAUCUUCGUUCAGAAUUGAAU
This is a long non-coding RNA of Apis cerana (Asiatic honeybee), 1824 nucleotides long. RefSeq lists it as uncharacterized. The record is from RefSeq and is a predicted model, not a curated record. Lineage: Eukaryota; Metazoa; Arthropoda; Insecta; Hymenoptera; Apidae.